RNAcentral lists this transfer RNA (73 nucleotides) under Felis catus (domestic cat). It matches the Rfam family "tRNA". Rfam says of the family: Transfer RNA (tRNA) molecules are approximately 80 nucleotides in length. Their secondary structure includes four short double-helical elements and three loops (D, anti-codon, and T loops). Further hydrogen bonds mediate the characteristic L-shaped molecular structure. tRNAs have two regions of fundamental functional importance: the anti-codon, which is responsible for specific mRNA codon recognition, and the 3' end, to which the tRNAs corresponding amino acid is attached (by aminoacyl-tRNA synthetases). tRNAs cope with the degeneracy of the genetic code in two manners: having more than one tRNA (with a specific anti-codon) for a particular amino acid; and 'wobble' base-pairing, i.e. permitting non-standard base-pairing at the 3rd anti-codon position. Lineage: Eukaryota; Metazoa; Chordata; Mammalia; Carnivora; Felidae. The record is from Rfam by way of RNAcentral.
GCCUGCCUGGCUCAGUCGUUGGAGCACGUGACUCUUGAUCUAGGGGUUGUGAGUUCAAGCCCCACGGUGGGCG